Molecule: long non-coding RNA, 489 nt
Organism: Photinus pyralis (common eastern firefly)
Lineage: Eukaryota; Metazoa; Arthropoda; Insecta; Coleoptera; Lampyridae
Exons: 3
Source: RefSeq, a predicted model, not a curated record
UUUAGUUUGACCCGAACGAGUCAUAUUUUAAAUAGGUACUUCUGUAGUGAUGCCUGAAAAAUGGACGGUAUAAUCCCCAACAUUACAAAUUUGUGAGAAAAAGAAAUGGGUAUACUAUCAAAAGUUCAGUGUAUUGUUAUGGGGCACGCUGUGGCUAAUUACAACACACAUAAAUUGUAGUAACAGAACUUACUUGUAUGUAGAUAAAGUACUUUGAAAAAUCGUCAUGUUAGCAGCAUCUUUGAUGGCUUCAACUGAUAUCUGCAAAAUUCACCACGAAACCCUCUACCUAUAGUUCCUACUCCAAUACCACCUAGUGGAACACCUACAAGUGCCCGCUGUGAAAAUGUUUCAGUUACAAUAACUACGUUUACCAUAUAUUUGUUUGCUUCUAACAAGUUUGAUGUAAUCCAUGACUAUAAUGUGACGACAAAUUAUUGUUUUUAUGUAAACAAGUAGGUACCUUAAAAUAAUCAUAUUAAAAACAUA